GACGUGUGCCAGCUUUCCAGCCCUAGCUCUCCUCUUUGGUAAUUUGUUGAGCAGUUGCUUGGCUCCUAAUUCAUUCAUGGCUUCUGGAGGUAAAAACAACCCUGGAUUCCAACCUGAUUCUGACAGUGAUGAGCACGUCUAUGCAGAGCCAGAGGAGGUUUAUGACAAUCCUUUUGAUGCAAUGCGGCGCCAGGGAGUAUAUUCUCUCCUGAGACCCCCCUAUAAUAGACAAGAGGCUGUAGAUAGCGAUGAUGAUGCCACCUAUGCCACCCCCUCUUUUGACAGAAUAAUUACUCGCAGACCCAGCACUGGCGAAGUCGAGAGGAUGCCUGGCACGCCCAGUCGGCGUCCCCCCGAACAGUCAGAUAGUGAGUCUGAUUAUGAGGAUAUAGGGGCAUAUGGGCAACCUGCCAGGCAAUCGAUCUAUCAAACACCCAGGAGGUCCACCAUCAGGUGUAAAGUCUCUUCUGUGGGUGAGAACUAUGAUAUCCCUAGGGAUACUCAGGCCAAUACUGUCACUGUGCAAACAACUCAUGGGGGCGCGCGUCCUCGGUCCCGGGCACCCAGGGUUUUGGUUAGACACCCAGAGGCCGGAGGCAACAAACCUGACUUCCUGCCAGUGGACAAACCACUUCCAUCUGUACCUCAACAUGUACCUCAAGGGUAUGAGGAAAUGGCAGGUUCUCCACCCCCAGAACGGGAUGUCAGGUCUCCCAGGCCACAAAGACGGCCAAACCCCCCAGUGAUAAUCUUCUCUGAUUCUGAGACGGAAAGUGACGCGGAAGCUGUUGGGGAGCGUCAGAGGGGAAGUAAGGUUGAUGUUCCUACAUCCUGGAAACGCCUGAUGAUGACUAAGGAGACUGGAACAAAGAGUAAAACCGCUUUUGACAAACUAAAGGGAAGUUUUGAGAAGUUCAUGAGCGGAAAUACAAAAAAUGAGGGCACGGAAGAGCAUCGGUCAGUUGUUAGGAGGAGAGGAGACGGGACUGGGUUCAGAUAUUCAUAUAUGUCCAAAAUGAGCACAGAUUUCCCGGCAGGCCCCACCAGAUGUGCCACUGUGUUAUACUUUGAUGGUGGGAUUGCGGUGGGUAAGACCACCGCCCUGGAGGCUGCUGCUGAGUUUCUGCACAACAUACUUGUGAUCUCAGAACCUAUUCCUUACUGGACUUCCACUUUUGACAAAAAUGUCUGUCAGCAGAUCUACGAUGUGGUCAAGACCAAAGAAAAGGGGAAGAAGCACUCCAAAAAAGUGUUGCAAUGCCAAAUGGCCUUUGCCCAGCCUUUUCAUGCCACCCAGCACCUACUCCGCCGGACGUGUCUAGGUACCAAGGUCUCCGAUGGAACAUGUAACAAUUAUGUGUUGAUUGACAGGCAUAUGGUGUCUCCCACAGUCAUCUUUCCUUGCCUGUUUUUCAGAUUGGGGGUGUUGAGGUUCUGUGAUUUGUUAUCACUAUUGUCUGUGUUUUCAGCACAAAAAUUUGAUAAUGUUGUCUUGUUUAAACUCCAUCCCAAAGUAGCUGCGACCCGAGUCAAGGAGAGGGGGAGAAACCCAGAAGGUGUGAUCAACCACACGUACCUGCAACUCCUCAAUGAAGUAUUGGAUGCCAUUUUUUGUGCCUGGGAACUGUUGGCGAUCGUGCCUCCUGAAGUUAUUGUGGAUGCUAUGCUUUCCCAGACUUCAGUUAAGACUGUGUUUCAGAAGGCUGGCUUUGUUGCACCCAGGGCAAGGCUUAUGGAACAGAUGUUUAGAGAUAGUAUUUUUAAUGACUUGAGAGAAAAUGUGCGUCAGUUGCCACUACAUGGAUCAUCCAUCCCAACCUUGCUACAUAAAUUUUGUUAUGAACUAUCCAAACCACAUAUGGUUAAACUAGAUGCUGGACAGUUUCCUAACGAUGUUCCCGGUUUGUGGACUCACAUAUAUACCCAAAUACUCACAGACCCGGCUAUUAAAACAUGCGACCUGAAAUGGAAUAUCCUAGAAAAGGGCAUAUCUGGUGGAGACCCUCAGUAGUAAUAAAUAGCCAAGCACAAUGGUGACAUGUUUGAAAAAUUUGUUUCUUUACUGUAUCUUUGUGUCCAUGAUGGUGUGGUUGGUGCAUGGGGUAGGCGAUCGUGAUAGUAAGGGCGAGGGGGCCACAAUAAAGGUUAAAAGAAAUGAUAAUGGCGUCAUUUCAGUCUAUAUUGAUGGAAAAGAUUAUGCAUACAUUUUUAACGUGACCAAGGCUUUGCAAGAUCUUGGGAGGGAUCCUAUAAGACAAAUUUGGCGCCAUUCUGAUGUCUUUAAGCCACUGACAAGGACUUUGGCAGAAAGGGAUUCCAUAUUUGUAACCAAUGAUACAAUACACAUAGAUUCAGACAGUCUGUUUGUCUGCCCGGUUGGUAGGGGCUAUCCCACCAUUACCAGCCAGGUUCAGUGGAAAGACCUUCCCCCUGGCUAUCUUGGCAAAUUUGGGUGGCAAAAGAAUAUGGCCCUGAAGGAAUUUAAUGAAAAUGAAAGAUUUACCAUGUUUUCAGAGAAUGAGCGGGAGAAGACACUGGUGGUGGGGAAAGAUAAAUAUGUGGAAUAUGGAAGCCUGACCUGGAUGAUGCCUGAAUGGGGCGGGACCUAUGGAGUUGUGACUAAUAGUUUUGCCUUUGUCUCUGUCAACAUAACUGUGGAGUCCCAAGUUUGUUCUGCGUCCAUAAUUUUUUCCCAUAAUAAAGGUGGACCAAGUUUCAAAGGAUCAAUUGUGCCUGAAAAAAUUCUCAUUGGUAAAACUGAUUUAUAUAGCAUGUAUUUUAUAGCCUUCAACACCAAGCCUGUCUGUCAAACGGAUAUCAUAACUGGGAUUGAACUCCAGAACCUGUUUGUUCAAAUGGUUACAGAGUUACCAGAGAAUAUAAUGGCGGAUAUUGCCAAUGAUGUGGCCUAUUUCUCUGCUGUUAAUUGCCAUCCCUUGAAGAUUCCUGUUCCCAGGCUUAUAAGGACAUUUACAAAACUGACAAUUUCUCAUUUUCUGACAAUAUCAGGCAUUGUGGCCACCAAAACAGAUACAGUAGACGUUGGUUGCCUGAUUCAGCAGCUAGCGGACCUCAGGUACUUGAGAGAAUCCCUCAGUGCUUGCAGUAUGGCCUACUCUCCUCACAUGUUUACAUCUAAUUUCCUGAAGUUUCUGUCAGGGGUGCAGAUAGAAAGGCUGCCAAAAGCCACCCAGAUCCCUCAGGCGGAUAUGUCAAGAGCCAUGGCGAUGCUAAGGUUUGGAAUCACCAACUACAACGUCUCCGCCCACGCCUUCACAUUCAUGGAGGAAAUGUUUGAGAACAUCUAUAGGGAAUAUUCAUAUGUCUAUUCUCUAACAUCAGAAACCAGGAAGGCAAUGAUGGGCGUGAGCGAAACCUUAAAACACGUUGCCAAGCUCUGGAAGUUCACAACUAAGGACUUGAUAAAAUUGUUCACCAUAGCUACGUCCAUGUGUACAAAUAAUGAAAUUAGUACCAUGGUUGAAAGACACGCCCCCCUUUGGGACAUCGAUGCAGUGGAAACUUUCUCUCCCUGCUAUCUGAGUCUCAGAUUUGACUUUAGUGCCAAUAAGAUAAAUUUUGAGGUGGAGCAGACUAGUCAGCUCACGCCCAAGAGGACUUCUGGGGGUGUGUCUGGCUUUCUCACAGACCUUCACAACCAUCAUCUGGACCUGGUGGCAACGCUGCCUUUUGUAAAGUGUUUGUCUCAUGUUAUCAACAACACUGAUGUGAUACUGCCACUGGAAAAAAUAACAUAUAUCAUCAGCAAGGAAGCUGUACCGGGGGUGACAGUGUAUGAUGUAGCUGAGACCUUUCUAGAGAGUAAGUUGGUGAUAUCUGUGUUCACGGACGAAUGUCAGCCAGCCCUGCAAGACACGGAUGUGCACAGAACUGUUCCAGUAAUUUAUAAUAUCAGUGAUAGCAGAUGUCAAUUUUGUGGUUCGAUCAUCAUGAGUUAUGAUGAAUCACAGGGAUUUCUGGCAGCUAUGUAUGUGUCAGACAAAACCAUCCAGACAAAUUUGUUUCUCCCAGAAUCACCCUUUUUUGAUAAUCACAAUACCCACGUGCACUAUCUUUGGCUCAUGAGCAAUGGAUCUGUUGUGGAACUUAGAGGAAAAUACAGGAGGCAAAUUCA
This 4135-nucleotide non-coding RNA is filed under the name synthetic construct. The record is from RNAcentral.